GAUGAACGCUGGCGGCGUGCUUAACACAUGCAAGUCGAACGGAAAGGCUCCUGCUUGCAGGGGUACUCGAGUGGCGAACGGGUGAGUAACACGUGGGUGAUCUGCCCUGCACUUCGGGAUAAGCCUGGGAAACUGGGUCUAAUACCGGAUAGGAGGAUGGUUUGGAUGCCAUUGUGGAAAGUUUUUCGGUGUGGGUUGAGCUGGCGGCCUAUCGGCUUGUUGGGGGGGUAAUGGCCUACCAAGGCGUCGACGGGUAGCCGGCCUGAGAGGGUGUACGGCCACAUUGGGACUGAGAUACGGCCGAGACGCCUACGGGAGGAAGAAGUGGGGAAUAUUGCACCAUGGGCGCAAGCCUGAUGCAGCGACGCCGCGUGGGGGAUGACGGCCUUCGGGUUGUAAACUCCUUGCGCUAGGGACGAAGCGUGUUGUGACGGUACCUGGAGAAGAAGCACCGGCUAACUACGUG
RNAcentral lists this ribosomal RNA (466 nucleotides) under uncultured bacterium. RNAcentral describes it as "partial 16S ribosomal RNA". It matches the Rfam family "Bacterial small subunit ribosomal RNA", at positions 28 to 507 of the family's 1533-position model. The record is from RNAcentral.